UAGAUCCGUGUGUGCUAGUUGUUUUGUGUGUUUUAAGUUAUAAACUUGCUCUAUGCCAUGAGGUCUUGAAUCUCCAACUCGAAACAAGUCCAGAUCUUGUCUAGAUCAAAAGUUAUGAAAGGUCAAACCUAGUUGACCGAACACAAAACCUGUUUCUGGAAACCCAGAAAAUCCCCAGAAAUUUCUGACAAGCUUUUGUAAGCUUCUGAUCUUGCAGUCAUUUUAUCUUUUGGCCAUGUUGUUAUUUUAAUAUUGUAUACUGAUAUUUAUAUUACACAUCUAAUCCAUCAGAAGCACUAGAUCGUUCAUAGGAUCCAAGAUACACUUGGUCAAAGUAGCUUUGACCGACUGUUCUUGACGAAAUCUGGAAAACCCAGAAAUCGUGAAGAACAGUGUCUGACCCAUACUUUGACUGGCUGAAAACAGGAGAUGGUGAUGUUGUUAGACUAGUCUGAUGUUAUGAAGUUAUACUAUGACAUCAUGACUACAAGUUUUAAUCUUUAGAUCACAAAACCAAAGCCUAGACUGCAAGUUACAAGGAAUCAAAGUAGGUACCUAAGGCUGUUCUUCAAAUCUGGAAAACCCAGAAUUUGAAGAACAGGUCUGACAUCAUUUUUGGAAGCUUAGAUCUCGUUGUUAUGUUGUUGUUUGGUCAUGGAAUUGGUAUAUAAUUGUAGUACUACAUUAGUACUACAACAUCAAAGUUUUUACAAGCC
This 716-nucleotide long non-coding RNA is filed under the name Panax ginseng (ginseng). Its description in RNAcentral is "long non-coding RNA (PGIN_LNC006652)". Lineage: Eukaryota; Viridiplantae; Streptophyta; Magnoliopsida; Apiales; Araliaceae. The record is from RNAcentral.